GCAUCAAUUAAAUCUCAAAUAAUAAUCUUAUAAAAUAUAAUAAUAAAUCUUUAUCUGAACUUGACUCAUACUAUCGACUCUCAUCUUUAAACUUAUCCCAAAAUAGUACUCACAUCCAUAAUUAAGAAUCUAAAUAUGAAAAGAAAGGAGCAGUAAUGAACUCGAUAGUCCAAUAAGUAAUGAAUAUCUCAACUAAAUAUUGAGAUAUUAUGAUAAA
Molecule: long non-coding RNA, 217 nt
Filed under: Elaeis guineensis (African oil palm)
Lineage: Eukaryota; Viridiplantae; Streptophyta; Magnoliopsida; Arecales; Arecaceae
Description: long non-coding RNA (EGUI_LNC008848)
Source: RNAcentral